This 309-nucleotide long non-coding RNA is filed under the name Gossypium raimondii (Peruvian cotton). Its description in RNAcentral is "long non-coding RNA (GRAI_LNC008405)". The record is from RNAcentral. Lineage: Eukaryota; Viridiplantae; Streptophyta; Magnoliopsida; Malvales; Malvaceae.
GUGGGUUGUAUGUUAGUUUAGUCUGGGGUUCCGGGUUCGGGUCAAUAGGUGUGUUUUCAGGGAAUUAAUUUUUUUUAGCUUUGUUUUGUUUUAAAAGGUUAGAUAUUUAUUUUUAUUUGUUUUAUUUUAUUUGUAUUUUUGUUGGAAAAAAAGAAAGAAGAGAGAGAAACAAAAAGUUUUCACGUAGCGGUUUUCUAAAUUUUCUCUGCUCGUUCUUUUUUUCUUUGCUCUCCCUCUCCUCUCUUGAAUUUCCUUUUUGUGUCGUUGCGGUUUCUUCGUCUUCAAUCAUUUGGAGCUCUAGAGGGAGAU